AUUUCACUUAUGCCUUCUGUGGAGCCAAGAACAGGAGCUUCUUCUAACAGAGAUGCUUGGGUCAUGUCACAGAAGCAGAUGCUUCUACAGAAGGAGCAAAAACUGGAAGUCCUGAAAAUUCACUAACCAUUUGGGUCAAAGGGGAAACACUAUGGAAGACAGUAAUAGUGAUCUUUAAUGAGGAGUCAGUCAUCGAUGCAGUUAAUAACCAGCUUUUUGAAGGGUUAGCAUCAUUGGAAUUUUCUCCUAACAAGCCUGUCAUUGACUGCUGGCACAAAUUAAUCUCUUAAGUCCUGUUCAGAAGUGAUCUAUGGCCUUCUGCACCAUGUUAGGAAGUUAAAGCUCAGCUUGAUGGAUUUGGCCUUUGCAUUUACUUCUUUUAAUCAGCCCUCUAGCCAUCAGGGCAAAGAAAAUUGUGCGGGUAUGUGUAUUUAAAAUACUG
Molecule: long non-coding RNA, 442 nt
Filed under: Anser brachyrhynchus (Pink-footed goose)
Lineage: Eukaryota; Metazoa; Chordata; Aves; Anseriformes; Anatidae
Description: lncRNA (ENSABRG00000009269.1)
Source: RNAcentral